Molecule: ribosomal RNA, 803 nt
Filed under: uncultured bacterium
Lineage: Bacteria
Description: bacterial SSU rRNA
Rfam family: Bacterial small subunit ribosomal RNA
Source: RNAcentral
AGAGUUUGAUCCUGGCUCAGGAUGAACGCUGGCGGCGUGCUUAACACAUGCAAGUCGAACGGACCUUACUUAUUAGAUCUUUUCGGAGUGACGAUUUGUAAAGUUAGUGGCGGACGGGUGAGUAACGCGUGGGUAACCUGCCCAUUACUGGGGGACAACAGUUAGAAAUGACUGCUAAUACCGCAUAAGCGCACAGGACCGCAUGGUCUAGUGUGAAAAACUGAGGUGGUAAUGGAUGGACCCGCGUCUGAUUAGCUAGUUGGUGAGGUAACGGCCCACCAAGGCGACGAUCAGUAGCCGGCCUGAGAGGGUGAACGGCCACAUUGGGACUGAGACACGGCCCAAACUCCUACGGGAGGCAGCAGUGGGGAAUAUUGGACAAUGGGGGAAACCCUGAUCCAGCGACGCCGCGUGAGUGAAGAAGUAUUUCGGUAUGUAAAGCUCUAUCAGCAAGGAAGAAAAUGACGGUACUUGACUAAGAAGCUCCGGCUAAAUACGUGCCAGCAGCCGCGGUAAUACGUAUGGAGCAAGCGUUAUCCGGAUUUACUGGGUGUAAAGGGAGCGUAGACGGCAAAGCAAGUCUGAAGUGAAAUCCCGGGGCUCAACCCCGGAACUGCUUUUGGAAACUGUUUAGCUAGAGUGCAGGAGAGGCAGGCGGAAUUCCUAGUGUAGCGGUGAAAUGCGUAGAUAUUAGGAGGAACACCAGUGGGCGAAAGCGGCCUGCUGGACAUUAACUGACGCUGAGGCGCGAAAGUGUGGGGAGCAAACAGAAUUAGAUACCCUGGUAGUCCACACCGUAAACG